ACAGUGGAGGCGGGCUUUUGAGGUCUUCCAAGCUCGUUGGUCCAGUGUGUCUCACUCUUCUGCUGCCUACGGAUCAAUAUGUAGAACUCUCAGCUACCUCUCCAGCCCCGUGUCUCCCUGCACGCCACCAUGCUCCACACCAUGAUGAUAACGGACUGAACCUCUGAACUCACUAAACAGUUCCUGAGAGGAACUACUGAGGAUGCAGUUAGGAGCCAGGCUGGACGCCAUGGGUGCUGUGAGCCGGUCCCCAGAGGUCAGCUGACCAGUUGGAAUACAGUGAGAUUGUGGAGGAAGCAACAGGACUCCCAGCACAUAUUUCUGAUGUUAUCGACUACAUGACUAAGGAAUUUGUUAGCUAUGCUAGAUGGACGGGCAGAAGAAGAAAAGCUGUUGUCGGUGGGAAUCAGGGCAGGGUGAGGCUGCAGUGUUGUGAUAGUUGCUGCAAUAGAGAAUGAGUAAAUAAACAGCGCAUGAAGACAUGGACGGAAAGCGUCACGGGGCUGAGCCAGACGGCCCCGCAGAUAAAGGGUCUCCCUGCCAUUCCUGAUGACCACAGUUUAAUCUCUGGAGCCGAAUGAUAGAAGGACAGAACUGAUGCCCACGGUUUAUCCUCUGACCCCAACACAGGCUCUGUGUUGUCUCCCUCUGUCCCUCCCUGUCCUGGCAAAGCCCGUUUUGAAGCAGCAGCACUGAGGCGUGGAGGGCAGCCUGAGAGCCGUUGUUUUGAUGCAGAGUGCCGUGGAAUACAGCGUCGCUGCUCAGAGAUCCAGAGGCUGAAGUGAGCCACCUGUCACUGACAAUUCUGGCCACAGCGCUUUAUUUUGAAUCCAGAUGAAGGGGAAAGACUUGACAGUGAUUUCAGUGGGUGAAGUCCACGGCAAAGGUCUGAAUGGCACUGUUGGUGAACACAGUCUCUGGCGAUACUCGUGUUGGGGUGGUGCUACGUGGAACUCUACAAGCCUGGACGUGCUAUAUUGAACAAUCUCCUGCUGACCAUGCUGUUUCAUACCUGUUAUCUGAGGUGCUGGUAACUUCCUGACACCGCGCAGUAAGAGACAAAGCAUAUACAUAUGUUUAAGGCAACAGAGAUGCUCAGUGGUUAAGAGCAAUCCCCGUGCUUCCAAGAGAAUCAGAGUUCAGCUCCCAGCACCCUGUGGGAGGCAAACAGCUGCCUAUAAGUCCUGCUCCAGAGGAUUCAGUACCCUCUUCUGGCCUCUUCAGGCACCGCACUCAUGCACAAACCUACACUCAGACCCACAAAGUUAUACACAAUUAAAAAGAAAAAGAAUGGAGAAAGAUUAAAAAAAACAAAAACAAAAAUCUAUCAAUCAUCUCUCUAAAUUUUAGCCUUAUUAAAAACUACUUAUAAAUUAUUUUACCCCCAAAACAUUGGUAAGUUUAUGCUCAGUUUUAUAUUUCUAAAAUUUGCUUCUAAAAAUAGUUUUCUGCUUUGAUCAAAGUUUCCCAUUUCAAAGAAAUUAUGAAGGUCCACAAGGCUUGAAUUCUGAUCAGGACAAGACAGCACUUCUUUUCAGUUAAGUGUAAUGAGAAAGGAGAAUUUAUUUACUGCUUGCUUAAAUGUAUCAAUUAUUAAUUCAAAUCAAAACCAUACAUUCAAUAUUCAGCACCACAAUUUCCUGAAAUUCGUGUAUGAAAGAGACAGUCUACAGGAACCAGGAACUGUGCUUACCAGAACUUACGGACAUUUCUGGAACCAAAAGGAGAGAUAUUUGUGAGUAAGGAAGAAAGAAGGGAAUAAAACUCACAGGAACAAUUGUGCAGGGGCUGGAGAGAUGGCUCAGUGGUUAGGAGCACUGACUGCUCUUCCAGAGGUCCUGGGAUGCAUGUGGUGUGCAUACGGACACACAGGGCAAAACACUCAUGCACAUAAAAUAAAAUAAGUGAGUUUAAAAGAAUUUUUGAAGAACAAUUAUACAAACUCAAAAUACUUUUACUACCGUGAGAAGGGUACCCAAAUCAGUCAUCUCUCCAGUAUGAAGACAAAAAACAAAACAAACAAAAAUAACUACUACACUAAUAUAUUAGUUACUACUAUAGGCAAUGCAGAAAGAUAAGUGGGGUAUUGAAAACUCAGAAUAUGGGAAGCAAUGACAUACAAGGACAGAGUUUUCAAGAUUAUUAUUAUUAUUUUAUUUUAUUUUAUUUUAUUUUUUGUAUGUACAGUGCCCACAGAGGCCAGCCAUCAGGAGCUGGAAUUAGAGGUAUUUGUGAACUGUGCUAUGGGAGUGCUGGGAACUGAACUCAGGUCUUCCAGGGGAGCAAGAAGCACUCUUAACCACUGAGCAAGUAUCCCCCAGCAAGUAUGGGAAGGAUCCCAAGACCUGGGAAUGUGGCUCAGUGGCAAAGCAGUGGUCCAGGGUGCACAAGGCUGAUUUGAUCCACAGCACCGCACACACGUCACAUGUGACACACAUGCAGUUGGACACACACACACACACACACACACACACACACACGCACACGCACACGCACACGCACACGCACACACGCACACGCACACGC
RNAcentral lists this long non-coding RNA (2526 nucleotides) under Cricetulus griseus (Chinese hamster). RNAcentral describes it as "lncRNA (ENSCGRG00015036517.1)". Lineage: Eukaryota; Metazoa; Chordata; Mammalia; Rodentia; Cricetidae. The record is from RNAcentral.